Non-coding RNA from Sus scrofa (pig), 72 nucleotides. Lineage: Eukaryota; Metazoa; Chordata; Mammalia; Artiodactyla; Suidae. The record is from Rfam.
CCCCUGGUGGUCUAGUGGUUAUGACUUGGUGCUUUCACCACUGUGGUCUGGGUUCAAUUCCUGGUCUGGGAA